This 318-nucleotide ribosomal RNA is filed under the name Hydropsyche sp. PAD3. Its description in RNAcentral is "eukaryotic LSU rRNA". It matches the Rfam family "Eukaryotic large subunit ribosomal RNA", at positions 705 to 982 of the family's 3401-position model. The record is from RNAcentral. Lineage: Eukaryota; Metazoa; Arthropoda; Insecta; Trichoptera; Hydropsychidae.
AACCCAGAGGCGCAAUCAAAGUGAACAGCGCUGCUUCGGUAGCCGUAGGGAAGAUGGCGGCCGGUGCGCCCGUCCUCCCGCAUUCCUCAGGCGUUUCGAGAAAUGCCUCCGUGCGAUUAUCGAGACGCACUGAGAGCGCGCACGCUGGGACCCGAAAGAUGGUGAACUAGGCCUGGUCAAGUCGAAGUCAGGGGAAACCCUGAUGGAGGACCGUAUCGAUUCUGACGUGCAAAUCGAUCGUCUGAACUGGGUAUAGGGGCGAAAGACUAAUCGAACUAUCUAAUAGCUGGUUCCAUCCGAAGUUUCCCUCAGGAUAGA